RNAcentral lists this ribosomal RNA (243 nucleotides) under uncultured bacterium. RNAcentral describes it as "partial 16S ribosomal RNA". It matches the Rfam family "Bacterial small subunit ribosomal RNA", at positions 1257 to 1500 of the family's 1533-position model. The record is from RNAcentral.
GUGAUAUGGAGCAAAACCCUAAAAGCGGUCUCAGUUCGGAUUGAAGGCUGAAAUUCGCCUUCAUGAAGCUGGAAUUGCUAGUAAUGGCAGGUCAGCAUACUGCCGUGAAUACGUUCCCGGGCCUUGUACACACCGCCCGUCACACCAUGAGAGUUGGAAAUACCCGAAGCCUGUGAGCUAACAGUAAUGAGGCAGCAGUCGAAGGUAGAGCCAAUGAUUGGGGUGAAGUCGUAACAAGGUACC